AUGGAUGAUCUGGAGCGCCGCCUGCAGCUUGCGGUGGUGAUGUAUGUGGGCGGGGCCAGACUGAGGGUCUCAUGUGUGGAUGCGGCGAUUGCCAUUUCUAAGCAGCUCGACAUCCCAAGGCACCAUUUUUCGGUGCACAAAUUCCACCCGGAAGAUUUUUUGGUGGUAUUUGCAUCGCACGAGGUCCGCAACAAAGCGCUGGGGGUGCCGUUCGUCGAGCACCAGGGUUUCAAGUUGUUCGUCAAGCCUUGGCUACGGCAAGCGCAAGCCAAAUCCAAGCUCAUGCGUGUUCAGGUGGAUCUGAUGAUUGAAGGUGUGCCUUCCCAUGCUUGGUCGAGAGAGACGGCGACGGAGCUGUUGGGCAGUUCGUGUCUGAUUGAAAGCUUGGCACCAGAGACUGCUAACAGAGAGGAUCUCUCCCUCUUCAAGUUGCAUGCUUGGUGCAUCGACUCGGAUGAGGUUCCUGCUCGCCGCAUGUUGUGGGUUCCGGAGCCGUCCGAGACCGUGGUGAACCCUGCGGCGCUUCUCCCCUCUUUCCGUCAGUUGCUGGAGUAUCCUACGCUCAUUCACAUCGGACGGGUGCGUGAUCAUACACCACCGGAACGCUGGCGACGAUCGCCGAGCUCGGAUGGUGGUAGCGGACAGAGUGGUCUGCUUGACAGUUCUAAUGGGAGCGUUCAGGGUGAGUGGUCAGUGCUUCCCUGGACUCGAGGGGUUUGUGAUGCCCGUGGGGUUGGCCGGAGCACGCCAAACUUCGCCGGCGGUGCUGGACAGGGUCGCUCGUACCGGCAGGUGCUAGAAGGUAGGGUGGGCCCUUCAGAUUGGAGGAUCCCGCCCAUGGGGCCAGGUGUGACGGCGACUGCGGCGCUGGGGGCCACGGGCCUGGUCCACAGGCAGUCUACCCUGGCUGGGGCGCGUUCAAACCAAUGGGUGGUUGAGAAUCCGUGGGAGGGUGAUUUGGUGACAGCUAGCGAGCUGGUCACUCUAGUGCAGAGUGACAGGGGCGCAGAGGAUAGAGAGAUUCCUGACAAAGUGGCGACGAUCAGCAGACAUACCACCCUUCCCUCGGGGGUGGAGCAGAUCCUGCCAAUCGAAAACAGGCAUGUCUCUCUCCCACCUGUGGUGGAGCUACUACAGCCAAUGGAGCAGUCUGGGACAGCUGGGAUUGUGGCCAAUGAUGAUGUGAGGAUCCUGGCUUCUCCUGUCGCGGAACGAGUCCAACAAAUCGAGCUGCAGGGGACAGCUUCUCCGCAGACAGAAGAUGAUAGGGAUCAGGUUUCCACUGUGGAGUUGGGCCCUAUGGGGACGGACCCAGGUGAGGUGGUGGGGGAGGUUGCGCAUGUGGGUCAGCCUUCCCAGCCGCGCUUCCCGAGAGAGCCGGGACCAGGUCAGGGCAGAUGCCUCGCUGAGGGCUGGGCCCCUGUGGAGGAGUUGUUGGCGCCCAAUGAUUCUGUGUAG
RNAcentral lists this ribosomal RNA (1458 nucleotides) under Triticum aestivum (bread wheat). RNAcentral describes it as "partial small subunit ribosomal RNA". The record is from RNAcentral. Lineage: Eukaryota; Viridiplantae; Streptophyta; Magnoliopsida; Poales; Poaceae.